Non-coding RNA from Microcebus murinus (gray mouse lemur), 1221 nucleotides. NCBI's taxonomy places the organism in Eukaryota, Metazoa, Chordata, Mammalia, Primates, Cheirogaleidae. The record is from RefSeq and is a predicted model, not a curated record.
GGACCUCUCACCAGGGUUACAUUCGAGAGCGGAGCCGAGCGCGGGAGACCGGACCGGAGAGGCGAGCUGCUGGUUCGGCGCGGGUCGGCUGGCGGCCCACAGCCCCAGAGCCCCCACCCAGCAUCACACUGACCCCACCCCCGCCCUCCGCCCCAGGCAAGGACCCCCAACACCAGCAUGGACUGCUGCACCGAGAGCGCCUGCUCCAAGCCAGACGACGACAUUCUGGACAUCCCGCUGGACGAUCCCGGUGCCAACGCGGCCGCUGCCAAAAUCCAGGCGAGUUUCCGGGGCCACAUGGCGCGAAAGAAGAUAAAGAGCGGAGAGCGCGGCCGGAAGGGCCCAGGCCCUGGGGGACCGGGCGGAGCUGGGGGCGCCCGGGGAGGCGCGGGCGGCGGCCCCAGCGGAGACUAGGCCAGAACUGAGCAUUUUCGAAGUUCCCGAGGAGAGAUGGAUGCCGCGUCCCCUUCGCAGUGACGAGACUUCCUGCCGUGUUUGUGAUCCCCUCCUUCCCACCAACCUGCCAGCUUCAGGAGCCCCCCCGCGUCCCAGAGACUCCCUCUCCCAGGCAGGCUCCGUCGCGGAGUCCUUGCCCUUUUAGUUAGUCUCCAGUCCAGUAUGGUUCCCAUCUGCCCUUCCUCCCCGACCUGCCCUAACCCUGUGCUCCCAAAUCUUCCUUCUUUUGCUUCUCGCCCACCUCUCCCCGCACCCAGCAUGCAGCUCUGCCUCCGCAGCCUCGGCGCGCUUCCCUGCGCGCACUGCGGAGGGCGCCCUAAGCGUCACCCAAGUACACUCAGAACAAGUCCUUUCGUUCUGUGCGCAGCCGAAAGGGGCGCCCUGCGUCUCUGUGCCGUUCCCGCCCCAGUCUAGCCCCAGGACCUGGGGCACGGAGAGGGGGGAAGAGGGUUUUCAUGGCGUCAGACGCCCCUUUCUCUGAUCGGAAGGGAAGUCCCUACCCCACGCCUGCCUGUGAUGUCCCCUCCCCUCUCCCUAGCGCACUCUUGAGAGCAGCCUUUCCAGCUCUCUUGUUUAUGCAAACGCCGAGCGCCUGGAAGGCUCGGUAGGAGGAGUCUUCCGCGGCCCCGCCCCUGCCCCGCCCCUGCUGGUCCCGUCCCCCGCAGGGCUCCUGGGGCUGUGGCCGGAAGGUUUUUAAUCUCCGUGUGUGCAUGUGACCGUGCUGGGUUGGAAUGUGAACAAUAAAGAGGAAUGUCCAAGUGUUCA